RNAcentral lists this ribosomal RNA (585 nucleotides) under bacterium T-1-48-10A. RNAcentral describes it as "bacterial SSU rRNA". It matches the Rfam family "Bacterial small subunit ribosomal RNA", at positions 370 to 945 of the family's 1533-position model. The record is from RNAcentral.
AAUGGACGAAAGUCUGACCGAGCAACGCCUGCGUGAGUGAAGAAGGUUUUCGGAUCGUAAAACUCUGUUGUUAGAGAAGAACAAGGAUGAGAGUAACUGUUCAUCCCUUGACGGUAUCUAACCAGAAAGCCACGGCUAACUACGUGCCAGCAGCCGCGGUAAUACGUAGGUGGCAAGCGUUGUCCGGAUUUAUUGGGCGUAAAGCGAGCGCAGGCGGUUUCUUAAGUCUGAUGUGAAAGCCCCCGGCUCAACCGGGGAGGGUCAUUGGAAACUGGGAGACUUGAGUGCAGAAGAGGAGAGUGGAAUUCCAUGUGUAGCGGUGAAAUGCGUAGAUAUAUGGAGGAACACCAGUGGCGAAGGCGGCUCUCUGGUCUGUAACUGACGCUGAGGCUCGAAAGCGUGGGGAGCAAACAGGAUUAGAUACCCUGGUAGUCCACGCCGUAAACGAUGAGUGCUAAGUGUUGGAGGGUUUCCGCCCUUCAGUGCUGCAGCUAACGCAUUAAGCACUCCGCCUGGGGAGUACGACCGCAAGGUUGAAACUCAAAGGAAUUGACGGGGGCCCGCACAAGCGGUGGAGCAUGUGGU